CAGCCGCCGCGGUAAUACGUAGGGUGCAAGCGUUAAUCGGAAUUACUGGGCGUAAAGCGUGCGCAGGCGGUUAUGCAAGACAGAUGUGAAAUCCCCGGGCUUAACCUGGGAACUGCAUUUGUGACUGCAUAGCUAGAGUGCGGCAGAGGGGGAUGGAAUUCCGCGUGUAGCAGUGAAAUGCGUAGAUAUGCGGAGGAACACCGAUGGCGAAGGCAAUCCCCUGGGCCUGCACUGACGCUCAUGCACGAAAGCGUGGGGAGCAAACAGGAUUAGAUACCCCGUAGUCCCUGUCUCUUAUACA
Molecule: ribosomal RNA, 301 nt
Filed under: uncultured bacterium
Lineage: Bacteria
Description: partial 16S ribosomal RNA
Rfam family: Bacterial small subunit ribosomal RNA
Source: RNAcentral